AUACGUAGGGUGCGAGCGUUAUCCGGAAUUAUUGGGUGUAAAGGGAGCGUAGGCGGGAGUGCAAGUCAGCUGUUAAAUACAUGGGCUCAACCCAUGGGCUGCGUUUGAACCUGGAUUUUUGGAGGGGCGAGAGGGGAAUGGGAAUUCCGGGGGUGGCGGGGAAAUGCGUAGAUAGCAGGAGGAACACCGGUGGCGAAGGCGGCUUACCGGGCGUUUACUGACGCGGAGGCUUGAAAGCAUGUGGAGCAAACAGGAUUAGAUAGCCUGGUUGUCCGCGCUGUAAACGAUGAUUACUAGGUGUGGGGGGACUGUCCCCUGCCGUGGCGCAGGUAACACAAUUAAUAAACCCCCCGGGGAGUACGGCCGCAAGGUUGAAACCCAAAUGAAUUUGCGGGG
RNAcentral lists this ribosomal RNA (396 nucleotides) under uncultured bacterium. Its description in RNAcentral is "partial 16S ribosomal RNA". It matches the Rfam family "Bacterial small subunit ribosomal RNA", at positions 523 to 918 of the family's 1533-position model. The record is from RNAcentral.